Molecule: non-coding RNA, 856 nt
Organism: Oryzias latipes (Japanese medaka)
Lineage: Eukaryota; Metazoa; Chordata; Actinopteri; Beloniformes; Adrianichthyidae
Source: the annotation of a RefSeq genome assembly
AGAAAUCCUCCUCUUCCUCCAAAACAUGAGUGUGAUGUGCGUCCUCAUCUGGACUCUCCUCUGCUGCUGCUUCACAGAGUCCAGAGGACAGGUCACAGUGACUCAGCCUGGAGCAGUGAGCUCUGCUGUGGGAGGAAAUGUCUCCAUCUCAUGUUCUGCUAGCCAAAGUGUAUAUGGUGGAGAUGAGAUGCACUGGUACCAACAGAAAAAUGGAGAAUCUCCUAAACUACUCAUUUACGAAGCUAACAGUAGAGUAGCAGGAACUCCAAGUCGUUUUUCAGGCAGUGGAUCAAACUCUGAUUUCACUCUGACCAUCAGUGGAAUUCAGGCUGAAGAUGCAGCAGUUUAUUACUGUCAGAGUUAUCAUAGCGGCUAUGUGUGGACUUUUGGUGGAGGAACCAGACUGGAAGUUGACUUGGGUCAUGUGCCCCCCUCCCUGACAGUGCUGGCCCCCUCCAUGGAGGAGCUGCAGCAGGGGGAGGCCACACUCAUGUGUGUGGCCAACAAGGGCUUCCCCUCAGACUGGACUCUGUCCUGGAAGGUGGUCGGCAGCAGCAGCAGGGAGGAGAGCAGGAGCCCCGGGGUGCUGCAGAAGGACGGCCUCUACAGCUGGAGCAGCACCCUGAGGCUCUCUGCAGACCAGUGGGAGAAGGUGACCUGUGAGGCCAAGAGAGGAUCCCAGACUCCAGUCUCAGAGACUCUCAGGAGAGACCAGUGCUCCCAGUCCUGAACUCAGACAUGCUGAUGGAAAUCUGCUUUCUGUGCACUUCUUCUUUAUUCUCUUUCUCAAAGUCUUGACUUGUUACAGUUUAACCUGGAAAUAUUAUCUACAAAUUAAAAAAAAAAUGUUGACUGA